Molecule: ribosomal RNA, 551 nt
Filed under: uncultured bacterium
Lineage: Bacteria
Description: partial 16S ribosomal RNA
Rfam family: Bacterial small subunit ribosomal RNA
Source: RNAcentral
UGGGGAAUAUUGCACAAUGGGCGCAAGCCUGAUGCAGCCAUGCCGCGUGUGUGAAGAAGGCCUUCGGGUUGUAAAGCACUUUCAGCGAGGAGGAAGGUGGUGAGCUUAAUACGCUCAUCAAUUGACGUUACUCGCAGAAGAAGCACCGGCUAACUCCGUGCCAGCAGCCGCGGUAAUACGGAGGGUGCAAGCGUUAAUCGGAAUUACUGGGCGUAAAGCGCACGCAGGCGGUUUGUUAAGUCAGAUGUGAAAUCCCCGGGCUCAACCUGGGAACUGCAUUUGAAACUGGCAAGCUAGAGUCUCGUAGAGGGGGGUAGAAUUCCAGGUGUAGCGGUGAAAUGCGUAGAGAUCUGGAGGAAUACCGGUGGCGAAGGCGGCCCCCCUGGACGAAGACUGACGCUCAGGUGCGAAAGCGUGGGGCAGCAAACAGGAUUAGAUACCCUGGUAGUCCACGCUGUAAAACGAUGUCGAUUUGGAGGUUGUGCCCUUGAGGCGUGGCUUCCGGAGCUAACGCGUUAAAUCGACCGCCUGGGGAGUACGGCCGCAAGGUU